RNAcentral lists this small nucleolar RNA (106 nucleotides) under Punica granatum (pomegranate). RNAcentral's name for it is "Small nucleolar RNA Z43". It matches the Rfam family "Small nucleolar RNA Z43". From Rfam's summary of the family: Z43 is a member of the C/D class of snoRNA which contain the C (UGAUGA) and D (CUGA) box motifs. Most of the members of the box C/D family function in directing site-specific 2'-O-methylation of substrate RNAs. The record is from Rfam by way of RNAcentral. Lineage: Eukaryota; Viridiplantae; Streptophyta; Magnoliopsida; Myrtales; Lythraceae.
GGACGGUGACGAUUGUAUCAAGAAAGGUCUCGUUCGUCGUAAUUGGCCUCCGUUGAAGGGGGCCUUGCCGACCAUCCUGAUAUAUCACCACCCAUAUUCUGAGUCC